UUCUUCUUUCUAAACCAUUCAUUCUUUCAUUUCACAAACAAAGCUCACAAAAAGUAGAGUAAAUAUUUGCUGUCGUCGUCGUAGAGCGAGGGAAGAGAUGUGUAUGGGGGCAGUGUAGGGGAAUGGCGAUAACGGAGAUUAAUUAGGAUUAGGAAGUUUGGAUUCUCCGUGGAGACCUAAGCUUAUUAACUAUUGCUCUUGUUUUCGUUAUCACAAUCUUAAAUCCAUUUCUUGUGGCCGCUGUGCUCGCACUCUCUUCUUAACUGAAAGCGGGAGUGUUUAUGCCACCGGUUAAUGUAAUGAUUUUGGACAGCUUGGUGAACUUCUAUGUUCUUAGUUCUACCAAUGUCUAGCAUUUACCGGAACAAUUUGAAUGCUCUUUUUUGAGAUCUUCUGUUGUCAAGGAAUCUUGUGGUUGGAACUUGGAAGCAUACAGCAGCGAUUUCAGGGAAUAUAUGUUUUAGUAAAUUUAAAUGUAAAUCUAUUGUUUAAGAUAAAGAUUUCUGACUUUCUCAUCAUAAUGUUCCAUUCUGUUGACAAAUUGUAAGGAUAUAUACAUGCUACUAUUGUCUCAGAGAUGUUGAAAAAUUAAGACAUAGAAGAUGUGGUUAAGUUGUUAGACAUGGAAGCAGUGUAAAAUGUCUUCGAUAA
Molecule: long non-coding RNA, 651 nt
Organism: Populus trichocarpa (black cottonwood)
Lineage: Eukaryota; Viridiplantae; Streptophyta; Magnoliopsida; Malpighiales; Salicaceae
Exons: 4
Source: RefSeq, a predicted model, not a curated record